Molecule: long non-coding RNA, 396 nt
Filed under: Musa acuminata (dwarf banana)
Lineage: Eukaryota; Viridiplantae; Streptophyta; Magnoliopsida; Zingiberales; Musaceae
Description: long non-coding RNA (MACU_LNC006649)
Source: RNAcentral
UUCCCCCACCCUUUCCCCGGGAAUGGACGACGGGACCGCCGAUGGACGGCCCGUCGGCGGCACCGAGUACAGCUGGUGCCGGGCCGUGGAGGGCGGGACCGGCAUCACUGUCCUCGCCCUCCUCCUCUCCCGACCUGUCUCCCGCCCCCUCCUCGAUUCCGCUCUCCACCAGCUCCAAUCCUCCCACCCUCUCCUCCGGGCCCACCUCGUCACCGUCGCCUCCAGACACCCCUUCUUCGCCAUCGCCACCCCCCGGUCGGAAGUCCUCCGGCUCCUCUCCUCCUCCGAUCUCCUCCUGCCGCCGCCGGCAUCGGCGUCGGCGGUGUCGGUUUCGCCCUUCCACGCCCUCUUAGAGCAUGAGUUCAACCAGAACCCCUGGUCCGACGGGGGCCCGAC